CACCGCGGUUAUACGAAAGACUCUAGUUGAUAGAUACGGCGUAAAGGGUGGUUAAGGGAAUUUAAAAAUAAAGCUAAAGACCUUCUAAGCCGUUAUACGCACCCUGAAGGUACGAAACCCAACUACGAAAGUAGCUUUAAAUAAUGAUCACCUGACCCCACGAAAGCUAAGAAA
RNAcentral lists this ribosomal RNA (174 nucleotides) under Sisor rabdophorus. RNAcentral describes it as "partial 12S rRNA". The record is from RNAcentral. Lineage: Eukaryota; Metazoa; Chordata; Actinopteri; Siluriformes; Sisoridae.